This 1430-nucleotide long non-coding RNA is filed under the name Chinchilla lanigera (long-tailed chinchilla). RNAcentral describes it as "lncRNA (ENSCLAG00000023180.1)". Lineage: Eukaryota; Metazoa; Chordata; Mammalia; Rodentia; Chinchillidae. The record is from RNAcentral.
CAAGGGGGUACAACGGCAGACGUGGACAGCGCCAGGCCCACUCAGCCCUUGGGACAGCGCACGCUUAGAGAAAGGGAGAGCCGGGGAUACGAAUCCAGCGGCUUCGCAGAGACAGAUGGAGGUGAUCAUCCUUCACUUCCUGCUGGGCUUCCUGGUGCCCGUGGCCAUCAUUGGGACCUGCACCCACCUCAUCCGAACCAGGCUCCGACAGAAGGGUUGGGUCCACACCAGCCGGCCGAAGAGGUUGUUGGUGGUGCUGAUGCUCAUCCUCUGGGCCACCUUCUCCUUGGGCUGCCUCAACAGCUGUCUCAACCCCUUCCUCUAUGUCUUCAUCGGCAGAGAUUUCCGGGAAAGGUGCUUCCAGUCUUUGUCUUCUACCUUGGCCAAGGCGUUCGGUGACGAGGGUUUCAUCAGUCAUAUUGUCCCUGAGGUGAAGCCCUCAGGGAAUGAUGGUUCUGGUCAGGUAGAAGUCACAAAUGUCCCUUCUUAGUUUGUGACCCUGGCAAGUCCUGCCUCCUCUUGCAGGAGUUCUCCCUAGCAACUCUCCAUCAAAAGCUCUGUAGUAAAGGCAUCUAGGUUUCCCACCUUCUUUUAUAAGAGGACUUCUUAGCCUGGCAUGGUGGUGCACUCCUGUAAUCCCAGCACUCGGGAGGCUGAGGCAGGAGGAUUGUUGCGAGUUGGAGACCAGCCAGGGCUACAAAGUGAGCUCAAGGCCAGCCUGAACUGCAUGGCGAGAUCCUGUCUUAAAAAGACCAAAAAAAAAAAAAAAAAAAAAAGGAUUUUUUUUUUGUCUUAAACUGGCCGUAUGGGUAACCAGAAAAAAAUGAACAGAAAGGAAGACAAAGGAAAGACUACAUUUCCCAAUAGCCUUUGCAAGAAAAUGCAACCAUGUGACUGCUUUCUGGCCAAUAAGCUGUGAGUGAAAGUAAUUAAUGCAACUUCUUUGAAAUGCUUUGAGUGAAAGAGGCCUGCCCUCCACUCUGUUAUUUGACUAGAUAGUGGAUGUGUCAGUUUGGUUUUGCUGUGUAAGAAAUAUCCCCAAAAUUCAGAGGCUUAAAAUAUAACCUUGCAUGAUUUUUUUAUAGGUCUGGAAUUUGGGCUGGGCUGAGCUGAAUAUGUUUCUGGCCUUGGUUGAGGUCCCCCGUGCCCCUGGGGACCACUGAACAGUUGGUUCGGGGAGAGAGGGCUGGCUUUCAGCCGGGAAACUAGCCUUGGCUUUUCACAUAGCCGGAGUCUUUUGAGGUAGUAGCUGGGGAGGGUUUUAAGAGUGAGAGGAGAGCGGGCUGGGGAUUUAGCUCAGCAGCACAGCGUCUGCCUGGCAAGCGUGAGGUCGUGAGUUCGAUUCCCAGUACAAAAAAAAAAAAAAAAAAAAAAAACAGUGAGAGGAGAAGCGCGAGGCAGAGGCUCACAAGCCCAGCCUAGAUCCCGGU